RNAcentral lists this ribosomal RNA (510 nucleotides) under uncultured bacterium. RNAcentral's name for it is "partial 16S ribosomal RNA". It matches the Rfam family "Bacterial small subunit ribosomal RNA", at positions 28 to 507 of the family's 1533-position model. The record is from RNAcentral.
GACGAACGCUGGCGGCGUGCUUAACACAUGCAAGUCGAACGAAGAGCGAUGGAAGCUUGCUUCUAUCAAUCUUAGUGGCGAACGGGGGAGUAACGCGUAAUCAACCUUCCCUUCAGAGGGGGACAACAGUUGGAAACGACUGCUAAUACCGCAUACGAUCUAAUCUCGGCAUCGAGGAUAGAUGAAAGGUUGCCUCUACAUGUAAGCUAUCACUGAAGGAGGGGAUUGCGUCUGAUUAGCUAGUUGGAGGGGUAAAGGCCCACCAAGGCGAUGAUCCGUAGCCGGUCUGAGAGGAUGAACGGCCACAUUGGGAAUGGGAAAAGGCCCAGACUCCUAAGGGAGGCAGCAGUGGGGAAUCUUUCGAAAUGGACGAAAGUCUGACGGAGCAACGCCGCGUGAGGGAUGACGGCCUUCGGGUUGUAAAGCUCUGUUAAUCGGGAAGAAAGGCCUUCUUGCGAAUAGUGAGAAGGAUUGACGGUACCGGAAUAGAAAGCCACGGCUAACUACGUG